UCCUUGGUAGUCAGUGGUUAAGACCCUGUACUUCCACUGCAGAGGACAUUGGUUUGAUUCCUGGUCAGGGAA
Molecule: transfer RNA, 72 nt
Filed under: Bos taurus (domestic cattle)
Lineage: Eukaryota; Metazoa; Chordata; Mammalia; Artiodactyla; Bovidae
Also listed under: 2 other names
Rfam family: tRNA
About the family: Transfer RNA (tRNA) molecules are approximately 80 nucleotides in length. Their secondary structure includes four short double-helical elements and three loops (D, anti-codon, and T loops).
Source: Rfam by way of RNAcentral